Molecule: ribosomal RNA, 678 nt
Filed under: uncultured Photobacterium sp.
Lineage: Bacteria; Pseudomonadati; Pseudomonadota; Gammaproteobacteria; Vibrionales; Vibrionaceae
Description: bacterial SSU rRNA
Rfam family: Bacterial small subunit ribosomal RNA
Source: RNAcentral
AGUCGAGCGGCAGCGACUUAACUGAACCUUCGGGGAACGUUAAGGGCGGCGAGCGGCGGACGGGUGAGUAAUGCCUGGGGAUAUGCCCUGAUGUGGGGGAUAACUAUUGGAAACGAUAGCUAAUACCGCAUAAUCUCUUCGGAGCAAAGAGGGGGACCUUCGGGCCUCUCGCGUCAGGAUUAGCCCAGGUGGGAUUAGCUUGUUGGUGAGGUAAUGGCUCACCAAGGCAACGAUCCCUAGCUGGUCUGAGAGGAUGAUCAGCCACACUGGAACUGAGACACGGUCCAGACUCCUACGGGAGGCAGCAGUGGGGAAUAUUGCACAAUGGGGGAAACCCUGAUGCAGCCAUGCCGCGUGUGUGAAGAAGGCCUUCGGGUUGUAAGGCACUCUCAGUAGGGAGGAAGGUAGUGUAGUUAACACCUGCAUUAUUUGACGUUACCUACAGAAGAAGCACCGGCUAACUCCGUGCCAGCAGCCGCGGUAAUACGGAGGGUGCGAGCGUUAAUCGGAAUUACUGGGCGUAAAGCGCAUGCAGGCGGCCUGUUAAGUCAGAUGUGAAAGCCCGGGGCUUAACCUCGGAAUUGCAUUUGAACUGGCAGGCUAGAGUCUUGUAGAGGGGGGUAGAAUUUCAGGUGUAGCGGUGAAAUGCGUAGAGAUCUGAAGGAAUACCAGUGGCGA